CCGGGCGCUGCAUCGGCACCACGACCUUGUUUAAUCCUCUCACCGCUCCGAGAGGUAAGUGCUGAUAUUUACAGUUUAUAAGGAGAAACACCAAGGCCCAGAGAGUCGGGCUGCGGGGCUCAGAGCCCAGUCCUCCAGGGCCAAUUCUGCCCUGGGGCACCAGGGCGGACUUCCAGGCCACAAAAAGGUAGCAGAGUCUCCGCCAUCUGCCAUCUGGAAACUCAGCCAGGCCUGGCCCGAGUUGGAGCUCCUUGACACAAACAUGUCCUCAGUGCCCUUUACCAAUUUUGGAGAGAGUUUAAGGCAUAAGGAACAGAUACAGAGCAUCCUUCCAACUCAAAUGGGCAAAAGCAUGCAGGCUUCAGGCAUAGCUAGAUCCAGGUGCUCAUAUGCUAUUCUCCCACUCAGUUAUCUUUCCUUCUUACUUCUUCCUUCUGGGUAACACUGCCUCUCUGGGGCAUAAAGAAUGGUGACAGGAAGUGCCAAGUCUCAUCCCUAGGCUUGGAAGACAAGGCUGGAUUACCAACCUCUAGGUCCCAGGGGAAGGAGCAGAAACAAGGUCCCAUGGAGCAAAAGGGUCUGGAAGCCCAAACCAGCACUGGCUGGAAAGGCUGUCAGAGGGCCCCUGUUGAAGUUUCUAAUGUGCUUUUUUUUUGGGGGGGGGUUACCAGGGAUUAAACUCAGGGGCCUUGACCGCGGAGCCCCGUCCCCAGCCCUAUUCUGUAUGAGACAGCGUCUCCCUGAGCUGCUUAGGGCCUCACUGUUGCUGAGGCUGGCUUUGAACUCACGAUCCUCCUGCCUCAGCCUCCCGAGCCCCUGGGGUGACAGGCAUGCGCCACCGUGCCCUAAUGUGCUUCUCACCCUGCUUUCCCUGGGACAGCUCUGGCCUGGACUGCCCCCGGCAUCCAUCAGUCUAGGGGAGGUUAGAAUCUAUUACGGAAAAUGUAAAAGGUAAGACAGGCUGCGUCCUGCUCCUGGACUCAAACCAGAUGACGCAGCAGGACAGAGUCUUGGGGGUGGCUCAGUCCCCCGCCUUGAGCGCAUCCCGCCAUCGCGCUGGACGGCUGGGAGGGCAGUCUCCCCGGGGCCAGAGGGUCCCUGCUGCUCCAGAGCCGCGGGGCCAACUCUCCGGUGAGGAGAAGACAAGAGGCGGGGGACGGAGGAGAAAUGCCGGAGCCCCUGACCAGGCUGCUGGGGAGACGGGGGAGUGUCGGGGAAGGGCUGCUCCUAGGGCGAUGCUCGACGGGCGGCUCCCCGCUGCCUCCAGGGGCUGUGAGAGCCAAAGUCUUAUUUUCCCAGACUCCCUCUAAAAUAGCAUUUUUACCCACCAGAGAUCUUGGUUGCCAGCAAAGUCCACCAACUCAAAUGCAUUUUAAACAACUUAAACGCUGCCGUGGUUAAUGGCAUGUGCCCACUUGUCUGAACCACGGGCGCCGGAGGUCAGAUGGUAUUCUGGGUUUGUCUGGGAGGGGACUUUUGGGUCAGAGGAACGUUUGGAUCAGUCGUUAAGUAAAGCAGAUCAGCCUAUCUAAUAUGGGUGGGCCUUGUGCAAUCAGUUGAAGGUCUGCUCUGAAUAAAAAGGGCUGAGUGAGAGGGAAGUCCUGCCACCUGCCUGCUUGAGCUGAGACACUGGCCUUCUCUGGUCUUUGAAUUUGAAUUGAACCCUCAGAUCUUCUUGGGUCUUGAGCCCACAGGCUGAGCACGGGCCCUCAGCUCUCCUGAUUUUCAUGUGCCCACUUGGACCAGAGCCAGCGCAUCACCGACUCUGCUGAGUCUCCAGAUUACUGACUGACGCUCUUGGGGCUUCUCAACCUCCACCUUCUCAGGAGCCUCCGCAAUCUACAUAAAUACAUAUAUACAGGCAUCUGUCUGUAUUUCUGUUUCUUUGGUGAACGCUUACUGAUGCAGACCCCCAGGAUAGACUCUGGAUAUGCUUCAGGUAUGGCUGUAUCCAGGAGCUGAAACAACAUCACGAGGUUCUGUCAUCUCUUGUCAGGUUUUGGAUAAGAUUUCUUCACAGGGUUCAUGUGGUAGAUAACACUGGCAAUCCUGGCUCCUGACCUAAACUCACACUCUAAGAAGCAAAAACGAUAUCCCUUUAUCCAUCUCACUGGUCUCAGUAGGGUCACAAUCACUGUGGCCCAGGGGCCAUGCUACAAUGGCAGGGAGUGACAAGACCUGUGAAGGAAGGGGGAGGAGUCCUGUGAAGCCAAGCUGAGAAGGCCACACGUGCAGGUCAGGGAGCCCUGUCACUCUGCCCAGCUGAGUGGUGAGUCAGAGCAUGGGCCACAUACAAGGCUCAGAGCCAGUGUGCCUGCCAGCUCUCCGAUACUGUAACAAAACGCCUGAGACAAUUAACUUAAAAUUAGGAAAGGUUUACUUUGGCUUAUGGUUUUGGAGGUUGGCCACCUGGCCUCUGGGCUGUGGGAGGCAGCCUCUCAUGGCACAGGGACAGGUAGAGGAAGCCAUUCACCUCAGGGCAUCUGGGGAGCAGAGAGAGAAGCAGGAAGGGCCAAGGCCCAAGUUCCCCUCAAGGGCAUUCGCCAGUGACCUAACACCCUUCCACUCAGAUCCACCUCAUUUUGUCUUCUUUGUGUUUUUUAUUUGUGGGUGUCUGUUUUAUAUGGUUUGUUUGUGUGUGUCAUUCGUUUCUUUGUGUUCUUGUUGUUGUUUUGUUUGGGGUACUGAAGAUAGACCCCAGGGGUGUUUUAUAAAUGAGCUACAUCCCCAGGUCCGUUUGAUCUGAUUUUGUUUUACUUUUGAGACAGGGUUUUGCUAAGUUGCUGAGGCUGGCCUCAAACUCGCAAUCCUCCUGCCUCAGCCUCCCGAGUUGCUAGGAUUACAGGCAUCGGUCACCAUGCCCAACUGAGGCCUCACCUUUUAAAGGCUCCACCGACUUCCAAAAGUGCCACUAGCUGGGGCCCAGCUGUCAACCUAUGGCCCCUUGGGGACAUUGCAGACCCAAACUUUAGUGGCUAGUGAGCAUCCCGGUCUGGAUUCAAGCCAAGUGUGUCCCUGGGCCGUCAGCUUUGGCUCUCUGUUUCCUCUCACUCCUAGUCACAAACCCGUCUUCCGACACCCUGGGCCCUGGUCUGCACACGCAGGGCCUUCAGCGCCCACCCUGGCCCCAGGACAUAGUAGGGCUGCGGCCAGAGGCAGCCCCCAGCACCCGGCUCCCGGCAGCUCUUUUUAACACCCCACAGGGUCCUCUUUGGAUCCCUCCUCCUGCCUCAGACCCAAGUGGCAGCUGAGUUCUCCGGGGAGCUGGCGCCGGUCCCCGCACAGCUGUCCCCGUCCUCUGAUGCAUUUUCAUUCCCUUUGAGAACUGCCCAGUGGGGGCAGCUCAGGAACAGAUGUUCCCUAACAACUGCAGUUUACAGGGUAUUUUUGGUAAAUUGUCGGGAGUUUGCUGCAUCCUCAAGGAGAAGAAAAGCAAACGGCUCCUGUGAAGACUGGCGCGUUGUAAUGGCCUUGGCAGCUGCAGGGUGACCGUCCUCCUGCUGUGUUGCCGCAUAUGAAGUGGCCCCAGAAUGUGGCAACGUGAAACAAUGCACCCUUCUUUCCACAGGGCUCCUGGGGAUCAGCAAUGCAGGCGCAGCUCAGGGCCAGGCGGUUUUGACCCUGGGUCUCUGGCGAAGCUGUGGUAUUAUCCGAAGGCUCGGCUGGGGCUGGAGGAGCUACCUCCAGGGUGGCACCCUUGCAGCUGCUGCAGGAGACUGAGGUCCUCAUGUGAUGUCUCCGUGGGGCCCCUUGAGUGUCCUCACAACAUGGCGGCCACACCCCCAGAGCAGGAGCACAAGGAGGAGCCACAGGCCUUUUAUGACCCAGACUUGGAAGCUACACUCCAUCACCUGCCCCUGUUCCAUGCACUAAAAGGGAGAGAGCGAGUCCAGUUCACAGGCAAGGGAAGAAGAGGCGGGCUCCAGCUAAGGAAUCAGGGGUGCGCACACCCUAACCCAGACAGAGAGACCCUAACCCAGAGCAGAUGGCAGGACGCACCCUGACUCCCAUCCUUUGCCCUUCCUGUGCGGUCGCCCUGUUGAAGGGGUGGGGACGGCUCCCCACGUUGGACUUGGUCCUGUGACUUGCUCAGAUCCAUAGACAGAGGCAGGAGCCAAUCUGGAGUCUGAGCCGUGAGAGGCUCUGUGGGUCCCCUCCUGCCUUCUCUCUCUGCCUGGGGUGAGAGAGGCCCCCUCCAGGCCAGCCCCUCCAGGGCAGGAGAGGAGACAUGGGAGGGACUUGGUGACAAGGGCUGGAUUCAACAGAAACCGCAUGGAGGAAAUCCAGGAGGUCCUGUGAGGAAGUCGCACACCUGGGUUUGGCCACCGUCCGUGGGGGCAGCCCUGGCAGACUUUCAGAUGCGCCUACCCACUGCCAAUCAGCACCCUCAUGGGGACAGCGCCGGCAUUUGGUUUUAGGAAGUCCCUGCGGUUCUGACCAUCCGCUCUGGGCCGGUUCCCCCUGCUCAGAGCCCACCCAGAGCCCCUGCGCCCCUGCCAACACCAGGAGCCACGGCAAGGAUGGGCCCAGGAAGGGCGGUUGGGGUCCCUAUUUUGAAAGCCGAGAUCUGGGUCUCCUAAGGUGCCUCCUGGCCUCCCGCAAGCCCAGCCCCAGAGAGGCCGAGAGGGGCACGGGACCCAGAGGGCACAGGUGAGGGAGGGCGCCCAGGGGCGGAGGGGUGGGGAGCCAGGACACAGGGCAGCCAGAGCCGCGAU
This 4715-nucleotide long non-coding RNA is filed under the name Marmota monax (woodchuck). Lineage: Eukaryota; Metazoa; Chordata; Mammalia; Rodentia; Sciuridae. The record is from RNAcentral.